AAAGGGAACUCCUUGACCCCUUGUGCUUCCCAAGCGAGGCAAUGCCUCGCCCUUCUUCGGCUCGCGCACGGUGCGCGCACCCACUGACCUGCGCCCACUGUCUGGCACUCCCUAGAGAAAUGAACCCGGUACCUCAGAUGGAAAUGCAGAAAUCACUGUCUUCUGCGUCGCUCACGCUGGGAGCUGUCGACCGGAGCUGUUCCUAUUCGGCCAUCCUGGCUCCCCAUCAGUGGUGUCUUUCAUUAGAGAAAUAAAACUGUGAGACUGUGAAGUGUAUAAAGGAUUCUACCGCUCUCCCGGGGCUUGGAGACCCACAGAUUGGAGAAAUCUCCAUCUCAAUCUUCUUUGCCACGUCAUGCAUGCCCUUGAAGCAUUAGAAUUCCUUAAAGCUUCAUGGGAGAAUGCCAUGGGAUGAUGAAGACAGAGAUUGGAGUCAUGCAUCUGCAAGCCAAGAAAUGUACAAGAUUGCUGGCAAACCACCAGAAGCUAGGAGCAGACAAGGAAGGAUCCUCCCCUAAAGGUUUCAGAGGGAGCCAUGGCCUUGCUGACAUCUUGAUUUCAGACUUCUAUCCUCCAGAAUGGCCCUAUUCAUCCACUCCAGAAAUUACCUGGACUGCCGUGUUCUGACAUAGCCUGGUUCUCCACCAGUGGUCUCACCUAGUGCCCUUUGGCUCUGUUGGGCCAUCCAUGGAGGGCUGGAUGGUGUCCUCACUCUCCCAUCACACAGCUCUUCUGAUGAUGUUUUUGCUUGUCUUUCUGGAAGUUCGCUCUGAUCCAAAAUUACAUCUGCAAGGGGCAGCUGAAGUCCAUCAGUUCUGUGAAGUCUUCUGGGAGUUGCCUCAGCCUAGAGAUCUCUUCCUCCAUUUCUCCAAAUAUUUCAGUUAGCUCUAAAUGAACAAUUAGCAUCUCCUAAUUGUGCAACUAUUUAAUUUUGGUUUCCUCAACCAAGGAGUUAAUCCCUUUCUGAGGGCAGGUACUGUCAACUUCUUUUGAUUUUUCUACACUGCAUGUGGCCAUCCCAGAUAACUCACUAACAAUAAAUUCUUGAUGACAUGACUCUACAUGGUAAGACGGCACUACUCACUUGCCAAGAGCCAAACAGAUAUUUUGGAAUCAUUUCCCAGAUAGUGAUAAAAAAUGGGCACAGACCAUUUGUAAUCUUUCAUCCCAUCUUCCUUUUGACUAGUGUCAUCCCUGUAAACCAUGAGUGAUCAGGAUUACAUCUCUACAUUCAGCAGGAGUAGAAUAGAAUUUCCAUUUGCACACAAAACUGACUCACUGAGAGCAAUUUAGUGAUCUCAGUAGAUGGGCCUGCUGCAUGGAAAGGCAGCCAACAGAUGGGGAGUGUCCCUAUCUUAGCCAGAGGAGGGGAAAGUAUGGGAUUCAAUCUGUUUCUUUAAAAGCUGAAGGAUAAACUGAAGAUGAUGUUCAUAAAAACUGUAUUUCCAUUGUUAAGGAGAAAAAUAGAUAGGUAAGCUCAGCCCUCUUUUGAUAAAAGUUGAACAGAGAGGUGAAAAAGGGAAUCCAUUUGUUUAUGCACUUAUCCUAAAGAGAACAUUGAAAGUCAAGGGGGUAUGUCCAGUGGUUUGCAAAGUGGUGUCUCCAGGGGACAUUUACAGUCAAUGUCAUCUACAGAAAGUUGCUGUCUUUGCUAUAGUGAAGGGCAAAUCAUCUCCCAAUUGCGCUGCUUUUCAAGAUUCCAUGAGGAGCUCUACUCUUGAAAAUUUCUGAAUCAAAAUAGAAUCUUAAGGAGUCUAAUUCUAAAUACAAACUUCAUGUGUAAGAUUCUCGCCAUGGCUGUAUGGCAGGUUUUUAAAGAAAGUAUGAGAAUGGUGUAUUUUAUCCAAGUGCUUGUUGCUGUUUUGCUCACUGGUGUCCUAAGCACCUAGAAAAGUCCUUGGCAGUUUUUAGGUGCACAAUAAGUAUUUAAUUUUAUUAUUCCUAAAUUAUUGGUUCGAUGAUUGGGUGUAUACAAGUGCAUAUGUGGAUAUGUGCAUUUGAAUGGAGAGAAAGAAAAAGUACAUGCUUACUCUCUGUGCUAUAAUGUCUCAAAUAUUAAAUCAUGACAUAUGAUAAUAAUGGUCAUUUUUAAGUUACAAAGUUCUUUCACCAUUCAUUCAUUCAGUUGUUAUUUAUUGGGUGCCAAAUUAUGUACCAGGCAGUGUGGUGGGAUACCAGGGAUACAGACAUGCGCCUGCCUGUAUAUGUUUACAAAUCUAGGUGGAAAAAAUAGGUAAAUAAAUA
This 2244-nucleotide long non-coding RNA is filed under the name Homo sapiens (human). RNAcentral describes it as "HSALNT0249039". The record is from RNAcentral. Lineage: Eukaryota; Metazoa; Chordata; Mammalia; Primates; Hominidae.